GGAGAAAUUGCACAGGUAAACUCUACUGAGCCAUUCAGUAAAUUCUACUGAACCACUCUAAUUACCAUUUAAUGAUGACUCUUACAACUGAAUUCAACCAAGAUGAGCAAUACCAUCUGCAUGAUAGCUGGAGAGAAAUUUUGGUUGUGGAUCCAUUUCCUUUAUUUGCUGGAAUAAAAACCCUUUCGUUGAGAAGACUCCACCUAAAGAUUCAGUCUGGAGCACUUCCAAUAAUCAUACUUUCCUGGGCACCCUGAUUUUUUUUUUCUGUAUAACAUUUACUAUUUUCUGUUCUCUGUGUCAUUUCUUAUGGAUGCAUUCACAGUCGCUUUCUUAUAUGAAAUAAAAGUUGGUGUAAUAAAACAGAUCUCAGAGAGGCAUUUUUAACAUGUGGCUGUUUUAGAUAUGGUCCUGGCUGCUUCGAAGCUCUUGGAUGGAGUCCCCAUCCUGAAUUCUCUUAGCGUCAAUCCCCCCGUUGACGGAAUGAGAGCUGCCCACCUCUCACAGUGCUGUUGGAAGGGCCUAUUGGGAUGCCAGUUAGGAAGUCGCUUGGCUAAUCAGAACGUGCUGCAUGAGUAUAAAAUGCUGCAGAGCACCAAAAGAGCAGACCUGAGCACCAAAAGAGAAGAAUGUGUGAACAGCCUUGAACUCUGCAAAGGAAGAGGAGGGACGAAUUCAGGUGGACUUCUGAUAUCUCAUGCUGGAGUUCUCAACAUGUUAUGAAGGGCACAUCAAGGAAAUCACCAGCUAGAGCAUGAAGGCACUGUUUUACAUACCUCAAUUUAGAGGAAUGAAUAAAAACUUUAUGGAGUUUGAGUGUAAUUAAAGA
This 829-nucleotide long non-coding RNA is filed under the name Vulpes vulpes (red fox). RNAcentral describes it as "lncRNA (ENSVVUG00000023111.1)". The record is from RNAcentral. Lineage: Eukaryota; Metazoa; Chordata; Mammalia; Carnivora; Canidae.